AGCACUUUUUAAUUUUUUUAUUUAUUUUCACCAAUGCAAAGAAGCACCCAUGCAACCUAACUAGCUGCCGUUCUGCAUGCGACAGUUGUGGAAGUAAUGGCUUCAGCCAUCGCUCUCGAGCUGCGCGAAAGCAGCUUUGGCGUUCUAAUAGAUAGAAAUUUGAUUGAUAAAUAACCAAUGGCAGUAAGUUUUUUUCGUAUUUUCAGGAAAUCGAGCUGCAUGGGAGAUUGGAUCUAAACUGCGGACAAAAGAGCGAUAGUUAUAAAGUGACAAUUGAUAGUCUUUCUCAGUUCUCCAAGAUGAACGAUCUCUAUUUCAUGGUGCUCCUUUUUGUUUCCAUAUUCCAAGUUUAAAUUGAGACGAAGAAAAGUUUAGCUCAUUUGGUCAAUUAUACAGAUGCGCAGAACCACCGUAUGAGUACGGUGAUCCUGCCUCCUAUUUGAGUACUAUAGUAACAAGAAUUUCCCUUCUGAUAUGCUGAAAUUAGGAGAUGGAGCUAGCUUAAAAGAAAAAGCUUUUGAGCCAGCAGCAGUAGAGGUGAAAGGCUUCCAACCUUUAGAUUUUCUCAAUCUCAGAAUGAUUUGGAUGUUUAUUAUUUGUCAGACAUGCAAGAUACUUUUAAUUUUUGUAAGGAUGAGUGUAACUGCAGAGUUGUUCCAUGUCCUAAUACCAUUGCUGAUCUCUGCCUGAUUCCCAAGGAAGAUUUGUUUUAUUGUUCAAAACUAUUGCUGAGGUUGAACUGCCACAUUGUCCUGUUUCUACCAACUCCUACAGUCGAGGACAUAUGUACUGAUCAAAUUGUGCAAUGCUUUGAGAAAGUCUUGGUAGAAUAUGAUAAGGUUUCCAAAGGCAUUUAUUCUAGCUCAAAGUUACCUAAAGUGACUGUUAUUAGUGUACUUGUGGUAGAGAAGACAGACAAUGGCAGCUCAGAAGAUUUUAAACCCUCAUCAACAAGUCAAGUGCUAGGAUCCUUUGGGAAAAUUUUGGAAAAACAUGUUGGCGACAGAAUGUUCUAGUCCAUUUAAAUAUGCAACUACUUUGAAUGAGGCAAACGUACCUGUUAUGAAUGAUUUGAGAUUCCUUAAUAGUUAAUGGUUAUCUUGCCAAACACUGUUAUUCUGGCAAUGCAAAUUAUGAAAGGGACAAAAUAGAAAACAGAAAACACUGCAGGUAAGAUAUCUUCUGAGAAGAUAAUUGAACAAAAAUCAAACCUUUUGCAGGAAUUUAACACUGAUUUUCCUCAAGUGGAUUCAUCUAGUCAUAGAGACAGCUUUAAUGAGAAUCAAGAUCUGAGGCAAAACUUUGAUCAGGUGACAGAGAAAGAUGAAAUAUAAUCACAAU
Dendrobium catenatum is the source of this 1341-nucleotide long non-coding RNA. RefSeq lists it as uncharacterized. The transcript has 4 exons. Lineage: Eukaryota; Viridiplantae; Streptophyta; Magnoliopsida; Asparagales; Orchidaceae. The record is from RefSeq and is a predicted model, not a curated record.